GCGACCCCAGGAUGGGCGAGGGCACCCGCCGAGUUUCAG
RNAcentral lists this ribosomal RNA (39 nucleotides) under Otoglossum harlingii. RNAcentral describes it as "partial 26S ribosomal RNA". Lineage: Eukaryota; Viridiplantae; Streptophyta; Magnoliopsida; Asparagales; Orchidaceae. The record is from RNAcentral.